ACUUCAUGUUCUUGUUCAACUUCUUCUUUACACCAAGAAUGGGGAAACCAGCAGCUUCUUGUUUAUUGAGUCGUGAACAUUAUCUUUAGUAAAUGAUAGAUCAAAACAGAUUGUGUAGCAGAUGAAAAGUAGGCCAUUCAUAAGGUGUAUUACAAAUGGAAUAGAACUUUAUCUGAAAUUUAAAUAGAUUUAUAGAUCUCCAUUUUUUCGCAAACUUAUAGCAAUCUCAUCUUGGACCUGGUAUCAUUUACUGGAAACUCAUUAUAUAGCAGAUGAAAAGUAGGCAAUUGAAAGUAUGUAGAUGCAAUAGAGUUUUAUCUGAAUUUAACCAGAUUUAUAGCUUUCAAUUUGGUGACUUAGAACUUUUAGAUUCUCAUCUUGAUCUGGCACUAUUUACAGAAAUACACUUAUUUUUUUAUCCGAAUAGUCAACUUUGUCGAUCAAUGUACAACCACAUACUGGUGAAAGAUUGGGAAAGCUUUUGGUAAGUCCAACUAGAACAACAAUACCACAUGUAGUGUACAUGGAAUUGCGUUCAUACUGACUGACAAACAUUUGGUAAUGUUACUUAUCAGGCCAAAUUAUUUUGAGACAGAAGGCCCUACACCUUUUAUCAUAACCCUAUCUAAGAACUGAAUUUUGACCAAUAAUGACUUCUUUCUACCAAAGAGAAGACAGAGAAACAUAUCACGUAUGAUUCAAACUAGCUUUAUCCACACUCUAAAAUGACCCCAUAUCAAACAUUACCAACAGGC
RNAcentral lists this long non-coding RNA (755 nucleotides) under Nicotiana benthamiana. Its description in RNAcentral is "long non-coding RNA (NBEN_LNC004939)". Lineage: Eukaryota; Viridiplantae; Streptophyta; Magnoliopsida; Solanales; Solanaceae. The record is from RNAcentral.